This 520-nucleotide non-coding RNA is filed under the name Pongo abelii (Sumatran orangutan). The record is from RNAcentral. Lineage: Eukaryota; Metazoa; Chordata; Mammalia; Primates; Hominidae.
AAAAGUCCCCCUCCCCGCUGCCUGGUGGAGAGGGAGCGUGGUGGGAUCCACCUUCUGCCCCCGAGUCCCCCAGCCAGCCCGGGCCUCCCAGGGUCACCCUGGGGCUCUGAAGGGGGCUUCGGUCCCUGGUUGAAUGAAGGGCCACAGAAAAUGAAGCCGGCGCAACGACCGCAUAACCCUCAGUGGGCACCAGGACCCCGGAGCUCAGGGUGCUAAUGAUGGAGACAAUAGGAAGGAAAGAGACCUUCCUGGUCACAGGUGGGCCACAGGAGAACAGGCAGCAGCCCAGGAGGAUCCAGGGUCCUGAUGGUGGUUGAGAAGCUGGUUCUUAGUGAUCACACAGGAACAUCGGCCUGGCCUUGUGGGGUCAGACCUUGCAUCUCAGUCGGCUCAGGGAGAAGAAGAAGAUGGUCCACACCCAAGUGCAGGGAACAUCGUGGCAGUUGGCUGGGCACCCUCGUCCAGGCAAGGACACCUUCUGCAUCAAGGAAACACGCGUUUCCGGAGUGAGGAGGCUGAA